UGGGGAAUUUUGGACGAAUUGGGCGAAAGCCUGAUCCAGCAAUGCCGCGUGUGUGAAGAAGGCCUUCGGGUUGUAAAGCACUUUUGUCCGGAAAGAAAUCCUUGGCUCUAAUACAGUCGGGGGAUGACGGUACCGGAAGAAUAAGCACCGGCUAACUACGUGCCAGCAGCCGCGGUAAUACGUAGGGUGCAAGCGUUAAUCGGAAUUACUGGGCGUAAAGCGUGCGCAGGCGGUUUGCUAAGACCGAUGUGAAAUCCCCGGGCUCAACCUGGGAACUGCAUUGGUGACUGGCAGGCUAGAGUAUGGCAGAGGGGGGUAGAAUUCCACGUGUAGCAGUGAAAUGCGUAGAGAUGUGGAGGAAUACCGAUGGCGAAGGCAGCCCCCUGGCAAGUACUGACGCUCAUGCACGAAAGCGU
RNAcentral lists this ribosomal RNA (416 nucleotides) under uncultured bacterium. Its description in RNAcentral is "partial 16S ribosomal RNA". It matches the Rfam family "Bacterial small subunit ribosomal RNA", at positions 355 to 762 of the family's 1533-position model. The record is from RNAcentral.